This 554-nucleotide unclassified non-coding RNA is filed under the name Hevea brasiliensis (rubber tree). Lineage: Eukaryota; Viridiplantae; Streptophyta; Magnoliopsida; Malpighiales; Euphorbiaceae. The record is from RNAcentral.
GUUUUAUUCAACAAGCUGUUAUCUUGAUGUGGUUCAUAUGGAUGGCAUUAAGUGCUUUCAUUUUUAAGUUUCAAGUCCCUGACUCUUGAAACAGUGGCAAAAGCAGGCAGGGCUUCCUCUGAAUUGAAGGAGAAUGGCAGCCUCUCCCGAGCAACUUAUAAGACACAUGAUCCUUCCUCUUCUUUUACUGAUGCAUGCCACCUAAGACAGGGUCUAGAAAGCUUGAUUGUGAUGAAGCCUCUCUUCAAGAGUAGAACCAAGCUGGACUGGCAGAGGUGUACAGAAACCGGAGGGGAAGAUUACUCGAUGGUGGAAAUAUUCUGAUUCAAUGCGUAUGUCCUCUUGUGAGUGACACCCCGUUUAUGCUUUUAGCUUCCUGUCUUGCAGAUGCGUUUAAGGACAUCUGAGAUCGAAGCCAGAAAAUUCCAUGGGAAAUAUGCACGGAUUUCAGAAUAAGGGGGCAGGAGGCAAUUGCAGCUUAAACUGUCUGCAAAUGCAAUUGCAGAUUGGCUGGAUACAAGAAUAAGGGGGCAGGAGGCCUAGUAGCUUAAAAU